RNAcentral lists this ribosomal RNA (506 nucleotides) under uncultured bacterium. RNAcentral describes it as "partial 16S ribosomal RNA". It matches the Rfam family "Bacterial small subunit ribosomal RNA", at positions 29 to 523 of the family's 1533-position model. The record is from RNAcentral.
AUUGAACGCUGGCGGCAGGCCUAACACAUGCAAGUCGGACGGUAGCACAGAGGAGCUUGCUCCUUGGGUGACGAGUGGCGGACGGGUGAGUAAUGUCUGGGGAUCUGCCCGAUAGAGGGGGAUAACCACUGGAAACGGUGGCUAAUACCGCAUAACGUCGCAAGACCAAAGAGGGGGACCUUCGGGCCUCUCACUAUCGGAUGAACCCAGAUGGGAUUAGCUAGUAGGCGGGGUAAUGGCCCACCUAGGCGACGAUCCCUAGCUGGUCUGAGAGGAUGACCAGCCACACUGGAAUUGAGCAACGGUCCAGACUCCUACGGGAGGCAGCAGUGGGGAAUAUUGCACAAUGGGCGCAAGCCUGAUGCAGCCAUGCCGCGUGUAUGAAGAAGGCCUUCGGGUUGUAAAGUACUUUCAGCGGGGAGGAAGGCGAUGCGGUUAAUAACCGCGUCGAUUGACGUUACCCGCAGAAGAAGCACCGGCUAACUCCGUGCCAGCCGCCGCCGUAA